GCAUCAGGACUGGGCUAGCCACUGCCUCCGUUUUCUCUGGGCUCCUGAGAUAACCUCCACCUGCCUCUAGAUUCUGUGCCAGCUGAUCGUUAUCUAUCUCAUCAACUCUUGUUCCAUCAGGAAACUGCAUCUUGAGUCCUCACGGGACUGGGGGCCAUCUGGUCAAGGAAAGGAAACUGGCUAGAGACUAAAAUCAAAAGAGGAAGAAAUGGACAUUGCUCUGGAUGGAGAAAUAUAUGCUCAAUUUCUUGAAAGACUUUUUUCCCCAUGAAAGGGCAGCUCAGUGUAAAGAAGCAGAAUUACAGUUUUCCAUUAUGGACAUUCUCAAUAACUUAAAGACAUUUUCAACAUUCAGACUUCAAUACAUUUCAACAUAAUUUCCAUAUUUUCGUAAGUAAUCAGGAAGAACAUGUGUACAUGGGAGUGAGUGCUCCAACUGGUGAAGAUAAACUAGAGAGAGAUCUUGCAAGUUUGAGAAGAGACCCAGACACAUGCAAAUGGCCUUCUGAGUUCAUUCUUGAUGGAGAGGAGCUGGAAGAAUCCACUAAGGACAAAUUGCCCUGUGGAUUUAGUAAGAGAUCUGUAUAUAGUGGAGCCCCCUGAGGCUGGCUUGUUAAAGUAGUAUCUUCUGCUUCCCUGACAGCAAAUUCGUGUGCACUGUUUACUGGGAAAUAAUUAUGGUUUUCGGCACUGGCAAAUGGAGUCCUAUUUCUAAUGGGAGACAGUGGUUGGCAAACAUGAAACCCUGAGUUUCCCUCUGAGUCUGAGCUGUGAACUGAAGUCGAUGACAUUGACAAGUCUACUGGAAUAUCAUCUCUCAGAGCAGAAUGCAUGAAUGAUGCAGGAGGGUUAUAGGAUGAAUUCACUGAUGAUCUUGGAGAUAUUGGUCUGCCAGAAAUAAAGUAGUCAAGAGAAUUUUGAGAACUGUUUAAAUAGUCUUUCCAGUAUCCUUCAGAAUCAUGGGUGCCAGGCCUAUGUUCCACAGAAAUACAAUCACUCCAUACAUUUUCAGCAUUGACACCAACCUCUUGUCUGGGCUCGGAUUUGGUGUCCCACGAAAGAGGGCUCUUUUUCGCAUUUUCACUGCCACCUCUGUCCUUCUCUGUAGCAGAUUCCCUAUCAGGCAGCCCGGGGUCUUGGGACAACCUUUGCCCAGCAGAAGGCCGCUCUGUUGCUGGCUCCAUUGCAUUGCUUAUUCUCAAUGAGCCAUGACUGGGCUCACUUCUUCUUGAAGAAUGACCUCUGCAAUUUUCAGCAUUUUCUUCAAAAUUUUUAUUUUUGGCCUGAGGGGUCGAUGUCCCCCCAAAUCUACUUCUUUUGUGAUGGGAAGGAGAACAGGGUGAGCGCACACCAACCCACAGACAUUCUUCAGACUGGGUUUCCUCUUCAGUGUCAUCGCUUUCUCUUCUGCUGUUCAAUGACAAAAUGGAAUAAAAGUCUUCAUCUCGGAACCUAAAUGAUGCCUUUCUUGGCCCUCCUACAGUGGUGGGUGUGAGUGGUGGCCCCGAGAACUCACUCAAUACUUGAGGACUAUUUUUUCCUUGGAAGGCCUGGGACAGGGCUGGAUGCAGCUCACUCUGGGAAGGAGCACUCGGGUCUCCUUUUUUGGCUCUAUCAGGGGCGUUCUCAGUCAUUGGCUGUGACGAUGGGACCAAGUUUCUUCUCUCUUGAUUUGGCCUCUUCAGCUUAGUGUUACACAUCAGGCCUUCUUGUUGAACUACUUGAUCUGCAUUGAGAAAAGACACAUUUAUCGUUCCAGUAAAAGGGCCCAUGGAUGAAAGGCCUCUAGCACCAAGUGCAAAAUUGCCCUUUAAAUGCAACAGACAAGACCUAGAGAAGAAAACAGACACGGUCAAAAUGGCUGGAGGUACAAGAGGAGCAGAGCCCAGCAGGCUUCAUUUUACUGCCCCGUAUUCUCCUUUGUACCCCUGUGGUCCUAGGGAAAUGGGGGGACCCUGAGGAUACAGAUUCUUUCUGCAGAAGCUCCCGGAAGACUGGCCCAGCCCCAGCCAGUCAGGACUGAUGAUGCGCAAACCUCACACUAAAUACUGGCUUUUGUUCCAUACGUACUGAAAGGGAAAACCACCACUCUGGGAAUGACUUCUACAAAAACCACCAGCCCUUUCUCAUCCACGUUCAUUCAAUGUACAUUUAUGACACCCUGCCUCCCACGCAGCUUUACAAGAACUUAAGAGAAGUAUAACAUGUCUUGGCAGAUCAGGAGGAAGGCUAUAGGAGCUGGCGCCCGGGGAACACUGGGGAUUUUGGUCAUGUUUAC
This is a long non-coding RNA of Homo sapiens (human), 2278 nucleotides long. The record is from Ensembl. NCBI's taxonomy places the organism in Eukaryota, Metazoa, Chordata, Mammalia, Primates, Hominidae.